UACGUAGGGUGCAAGCGUUAAUCGGAAUUACUGGGCGUAAAGCGUGCGCAGGCGGUGAUGUAAGACAGUUGUGAAAUCCCCGGGCUCAACCUGGGAACUGCAUCUGUGACUGCAUCGCUGGAGUGCGGCAGAGGGGGAUGGAAUUCCGCGUGUAGCAGUGAAAUGCGUAGAUAUGCGGAGGAACACCGAUGGCGAAGGCAAUCCCCUGGGCCUGCACUGACGCUCAUGCACGAAAGCGUGGGGAGCAAAC
Molecule: ribosomal RNA, 250 nt
Filed under: uncultured bacterium
Lineage: Bacteria
Also listed under: 1 other name
Description: partial 16S ribosomal RNA
Rfam family: Bacterial small subunit ribosomal RNA
Source: RNAcentral